GAAAUUCCAAUAUUGACCCUUCUGGUACAGUAAAAAUACCAGGAUUGCCCUUGUUAAGAUACAGUGAAGUCCCUUCUUUUCUACUAACCACCCAUGCGUUGGCUGUCGUUUUCCAAGAACACAUAGAAAUCCUAGAAAAACACCCAGAUUCAUUCAUACUAAUCAACAGUUUUAACGCCUUAGAAGAAGAUUCGAUUGAAGCAAUACCUGAUCAUAGAAACAUUUACACCGUCGGACCUUUAGUUUCCGGUGACACGGAGGAGCCGUUCGUCAGCGAUACUUUUCAAGAUUCCGAUCGAGAGACAUAUCUCCGAUGGCUAGACACAAAACCUGAGAAAUCGGUGGUUUACGUUUCAUUCGGAAGCUUAUUGAAAUUACAGAAAAAUCAAAAGGAGGAGAUAUUUCAAGGAUUAAUCGAAUUUGGUCACCCGUUUUUGUGGGUCAUACGUCAUAACGGGGAGAACGAUGAAGAAGAAGUGAUGCGUUACACGGCGGAAGGCGGUGGGUUGAUAGUGAGAUGGUGUUCGCAGGUGGAGGUGUUAAACCACGUUGCGAUUGGGUGUUUCGUGACGCAUUGUGGAUGGAACUC
RNAcentral lists this long non-coding RNA (589 nucleotides) under Lactuca sativa (garden lettuce). RNAcentral describes it as "long non-coding RNA (LSAT_LNC000362)". The record is from RNAcentral. Lineage: Eukaryota; Viridiplantae; Streptophyta; Magnoliopsida; Asterales; Asteraceae.